This is an unclassified non-coding RNA of Papio anubis (olive baboon), 279 nucleotides long. It matches the Rfam family "Metazoan signal recognition particle RNA". Rfam says of the family: The signal recognition particle (SRP) is a universally conserved ribonucleoprotein. It is involved in the co-translational targeting of proteins to membranes. The record is from Ensembl. NCBI's taxonomy places the organism in Eukaryota, Metazoa, Chordata, Mammalia, Primates, Cercopithecidae.
GCCGGGUGUAGUGGCGCAUGCCUGUAGUCCCAGCUACUCGGGAGGCUGAGGCAGGAGAAUCGCUUGAACCCAGGAGGCAGAGGUUGCGGUGAGCUGAGAUCGUGCCAUUGCACUCCAGCCUGGGCAAGAGUGAAAUUCCGUCUCAGAAAAAAAAAAAUGGAAAUGGAACUCACAAGAAGGAACAGAGUCUUGCUCUUGUUGCCCAGGCUGGAGUGCAGUGGCGCGAUCUCGGCUCACUUCAACCGCUGACUGACGGUUCAAGUGAUUCUCCUGCCUCAG